This 631-nucleotide small RNA is filed under the name Pongo abelii (Sumatran orangutan). Its description in RNAcentral is "retained intron". The record is from RNAcentral. Lineage: Eukaryota; Metazoa; Chordata; Mammalia; Primates; Hominidae.
AAUAACCUUCUCUUUUAAGUGGAAUUUAGCAAUAUGAAUAUUGUUUUUCAGCUGUGAGUACCAGAGUGCCCACUGGUUCCAACAGUUCUUCUCAGACCACAGAGUGUGUUACACCUGAAUCCUGUUCGCAGACUGCAAGCAAUGUGGCUUCCCAAUCGAUGCCUCCUGUGUAUCCUUCAGUUGACAUUGAUGCACAUACUGAGAGCAAUCAUGACACAGCAUUAACACUAGCUUGUGCAGGUGGUCAUGAAGAACUUGUAUCUGUGCUCAUUGCACGGGAUGCCAAAAUUGAACACAGAGACAAAAAAGGUUUCACACCACUAAUCCUGGCAGCAACAGCAGGGCAUGUUGGAGUUGUUGAAAUCCUUUUGGAUAAAGGUGGAGAUAUAGAAGCACAGUCUGAACGAACUAAGGAUACUCCGCUUUCAUUGGCAUGUUCUGGUGGACGUCAGGAGGUGGUAGACUUGCUGCUGGCUCGAGGUGCAAAUAAAGAACAUAGGAACGUAUCUGAUUAUACACCACUGAGUCUAGCUGCGUCUGGAGGAUAUGUUAAUAUCAUUAAGAUUCUGCUUAAUGCUGGGGCAGAAAUUAAUUCAAGACUGGUCUUACCCCCUUGAUGGAAGCAGCUUCU